RNAcentral lists this transfer RNA (73 nucleotides) under Staphylococcus aureus. Its description in RNAcentral is "tRNA-Lys". It matches the Rfam family "tRNA". Rfam says of the family: Transfer RNA (tRNA) molecules are approximately 80 nucleotides in length. Their secondary structure includes four short double-helical elements and three loops (D, anti-codon, and T loops). The record is from RNAcentral. Lineage: Bacteria; Bacillati; Bacillota; Bacilli; Caryophanales; Staphylococcaceae.
GAGCCAUNAGNUCAGNUGGUAGAGCAUCUGACUUUUAAUCAGAGGGUCAGAGGUUCGAAUCCUCUAUGGCUCA